AUUUCCUUCCCUCGCACAAAAAUGGAACCCUAACCCAUUAUCCCUCUAUCUCUCAGCAACCAGCAGCAGCAGCCACCGCCUCCGUCGCCGCCGAACUCUUCUCGUCAGCCAAAGGGUGCCGUCGCACCGGCAGUGACGGACAGAGGGUCAGAUCGAAGUCCUUGGCCGUCGAUCCUCUUCUCCUCCACGUCGUCGCCUCUGUACUUGCAUGUCGAAGCUCGUUGCCGUCUUCUACUCUUCUCUACAUUGUUUUGACGGAUUCGGAAACAACAAGUGAAACUGAAAGCAGUUCCACGGAUUCAGAAAGCAGAAGUGAAUCCGAAAACCAAGAAGAAGAAGAAAUUGAAAAAUAAGCAACAAAGAAAAGAAAACAACCACAGAAAGUGGUUAAAAAAGAAAGCAAAAAAGGAAGCCUGUGCCGAUGGAUUCAGUGAGCACAAGCAAAUCUGAAAGCCAAGAAAAAGAAAUCGAAAAAACUCCGACAGUGAAGAGAAAACAACCGAAGAGGGGUGCAAAAAAAACAAACCAAAUCAAGCAAGCUUGUUCUGACAGAUUCAGAGAGCAAAACUGAAUCUGAAAGCGAAAGUGAACGAGUAAGGAUCAGCGCUGCCAAAAGAAGAAGAGAGGCGUUGCAGCUGUUAAGAGAAAAGAGAGCAAAGAAAAGAAAUGAUGGAGCUCAGACAAUAAACGUUGCUCCGGAUCACUUUGACUCGACAGAGAUGUGAAAUGAUUUAUCUGAGACACUGCCGACUGUAAAUUUGGGUAGCGAACCUCUCUUACAGACUCAGAUGAGCUCCACACCGUCUAUAAAUGCCCCAACCAAUACCAGCACUAUACCUGAUCCUGACCUACAAAUCAUUGAGGUUCGAGAAGAAACUCGUUCCCAACCUUUGGAAAUACUUCCUAUUGCGGUGUCUCUUCUGAGUUCUCUUAAGGAAGAGUUAAUAAAAGAUGACUUUACCUUUGUCCCUUCGAAAAGUCAAACACAAGAAACUUCUGUUAAUGACAGCCUUCUGGAACCGCAACAGCAGCCCUGCAAAGAAGCACCAGCACGGCAAUCAGAACAAGAAGCACCUGUCGAUGUAUAAGUUUUACUGCUUGUUUAAAACUGCCGUCCUCCGAAACCCAAAAAGCAAGCUGGUGAGGAAUCUUCCUUGACGAAGACGAAGCCAGAACCUCCGUUGAAUGUUGCAGCAGCCCUCUCGAAGAAAAACAGCAAGCGUGCCAAGAAGCUUUGGCGGCACGGCAAUUGGAAAAAGAAGCACAGCCUGAUUUAAUCGGAAAAACAGGCUGCCGAGGGAUCUUGCCCAAGGAAGACAGAGCCAGAACCUCCGUUGAAUGUUGCUGCUCGUCCUUCUUUGUGGAAACAUGAUGCACCUUCGUUCUACCUUGGCAUAAGUCCCCUGACAUCUCAACCAACUCCUCCGACCUCUCAGCCGACGGUGUCACAGCUUGAAAUCCUGGCAGAGGCAGUGGUAGAUGCUGGGGUAACAACGACAUUGAAAUUUUCUGAAGC
Arachis stenosperma is the source of this 1516-nucleotide long non-coding RNA. RefSeq lists it as uncharacterized. The transcript has 12 exons. The record is from RefSeq and is a predicted model, not a curated record. NCBI's taxonomy places the organism in Eukaryota, Viridiplantae, Streptophyta, Magnoliopsida, Fabales, Fabaceae.